UCAAGUCGAAGGUAGCAAUGUCGGCAGCAUACCAACCACCACUCCCGCCCCUCCUCUUCCUCACCGUAUAUUAAAUCGAAAUCAGGAUACUCAUUUACUGUCUUCCAUGAAUUCGUGUGUCAGCUAUAAAGUUUACCCAUCCACAUAUUAUCAUUAGACAAAACAAUAAACACCUUGUGUGCACCACUCGACGACAUUUGAGAUUUACUGUCUUUCAAAACAUCAAACCUCCGACGCUAAACUAUUCUAACACAACUAGGAAAUCAAAACUAAAUAGGAAAAAAAAAAGAAAAAGAAAAAAAAGAGAGAUAUGCAUCAGAUACGCUUGGGAUUCAAAGGGUGAAACAAACCCUAAACUAUUCUAACACAUUAAGAAACUAAAACUAAAUAGGAAAAAAAGAAAAGAGAGAUAUGGAUCAGAUUCGGAUUUAAAGGUUGAAACAAACCUAAACUAUUCUAGCACAAUUAAGAAACCAAAAGUAAAUAGGAAAAAAAAGAAAAGAGAGAUAUGCAUCAGAUACGCCCCAAAAGUAAAUAAGAAACCAAAAGUAAAUAGGAAAAGAAAAGAAAAGAGAG
This 576-nucleotide long non-coding RNA is filed under the name Salvia miltiorrhiza (redroot sage). Its description in RNAcentral is "long non-coding RNA (SMIL_LNC008760)". Lineage: Eukaryota; Viridiplantae; Streptophyta; Magnoliopsida; Lamiales; Lamiaceae. The record is from RNAcentral.